GGGGAUUUAGCUCAGUGGUAGAGCGCUUGCCUAGGAAGCGCAAGGCGCAAGCGCAAGGCCCUGGGUUCGGUCCCCAGCUCCG
This 82-nucleotide transfer RNA is filed under the name Rattus norvegicus (Norway rat). It matches the Rfam family "tRNA". Rfam says of the family: Transfer RNA (tRNA) molecules are approximately 80 nucleotides in length. Their secondary structure includes four short double-helical elements and three loops (D, anti-codon, and T loops). Lineage: Eukaryota; Metazoa; Chordata; Mammalia; Rodentia; Muridae. The record is from Rfam by way of RNAcentral.